GUGGGGCAACCUGCCGCUGGAACUUAUCAAAAACCUUUUUUUGCAUCUAGCAUUACCUGUUCUGAUACAAACAAUCGUUACAACUUUCAACAAUGGAUCUCUUGGCUCUGGCAUCGAUGAAGAACGCAGCGAAAUGCGAUAAGUAGUGUGAAUUGCAGAAUUCAGUGAAUCAUCGAAUCUUUGAACGCACAUUGCGCCCCUCGGUAUUCCGUGGGGCAUGCCUGUUCGAGCGUCAUCUACACCCUCAAGCUCUGCUUGGUGUUGGGCGUCUGUCCCGCCUCUGCGCGCGGACUCGCCCCAAAUUCAUUGGCAGCGGUCCUUGCCCCCUCUCGCGCAGCACAUUGCGCUUCUCGAGGGGCGCGGCCCGCGUCCACGAAGCAAACAUUACCGUCUUUGACCUCGGAUCAGGUAGGGAUACCCGCUGAACUUA
This 430-nucleotide ribosomal RNA is filed under the name Paracamarosporium leucadendri. Its description in RNAcentral is "eukaryotic LSU rRNA". The stretch from base 82 to 235 matches the Rfam family "5.8S ribosomal RNA". Lineage: Eukaryota; Fungi; Ascomycota; Dothideomycetes; Pleosporales; Didymosphaeriaceae. The record is from RNAcentral.